UUUCCGUAGGUGAACCUGCGGAAGGAUCAUUACAGAGUAAUUGGUUUUCGGACCGACUUACCCGUCCUUUUGUCAUUCAAACAUUGAUUUACUUCCCAGGAGGUGUCGCAGCGAUGUGACCGCCUGGGGUUUUUUUACAAACUCUUUUUUGCAAUGAAACUGAAGUCUGAAAAACAAACAAAAAAUGAAAAGCAAAACUUUCAACAACGGAUCUCUUGGCUCUGGCAUCGAUGAAGAACGCAGC
Molecule: unclassified non-coding RNA, 244 nt
Filed under: uncultured fungus
Lineage: Eukaryota; Fungi
Description: sequence contains ITS1, 5.8S rRNA gene
Rfam family: 5.8S ribosomal RNA (bases 196-244)
Source: RNAcentral